This 1542-nucleotide unclassified non-coding RNA is filed under the name uncultured fungus. RNAcentral describes it as "sequence contains 18S rRNA gene, ITS1, 5.8S rRNA gene, ITS2, 28S rRNA gene". Lineage: Eukaryota; Fungi. The record is from RNAcentral.
CACCUUCGACCUGCGCCAGCCGGCGCUGAGAGGUAGCCAGGUCCGAGACUGUCGCCAGCGAGUCGCGGUAGUCGGCCUCUGUGGAGUUGUCGUACACCGAGUCCAUCGCGAGCUGCUCGGCGUAGGACUUGCUCAUGUUCAGCGAGUAGGUCCGGGCCAAUCCCUGAAGCGUUGCACUGCGGGCUAUCCGCUCCACAUGGUCCUUGCCCAUACCGGCCGGAUCAAGUGCGUACUGGGUGAGGUCGUUGACCCCGAUCCCGUAGUUCGCCCGCAGGGCCUCUCGGACGUUGGGGUCGGUGGCCUCGGCCACCAUCCGGGCGUCCUGCAGCCGCUCCUCGAGCGACUGCACGUCGACGUCGGACUCGAUGAGCCGGGUGUAGGUGGACUUCUGGUCGAACGCGCUGCCGCGCAGGCCGUAGGCGUCCAGCGCCCGCGCGUACGAGCGCUCCAUCUCGAUGUACUCGCCCUCGGUGAUCGUCUGCCCGCGCGUGCGCAGCGCGGCCAUCGCCGGGAACCGGGCCUUGUACUCGGGCCGGUCGUACAUCUCGAUGAGGACUUGGUCGUCGGUCGCGCCUGCGCGCACCCGACCCAGGUACCAAGUCGCCAGGCCGCCGAGGCCGGCCUGGUUGAACAGCUGCGUCAGCCACGCCGGGAUGGCUGGGGUAGUCGCCAUGUCAGCCCACCUUCAUCAUCCUGCGAGGCCCAUUCUGGCCAUGAGGUUGUAGACGCCGUUGGACAGAGUGUCCUUGGCGUUGGCCGUGUUCAGCCAGCGGUUGUCCUGCUUCACCAGCGCGUCGAAGGAGGACAUGUCGCGAACCAUCUGCUUGCCGGACUUUGGGUCGGUGGUGGUGAACCCCUUGCCGUUGCGGAACAGCGGGUCGUUCCAGUCCAGGGUGUCGGGGUCCACCUCGAGCAACUGGGCGGCCUGCUGGAAGUAGCCGUCGGUCAGGCUGCGCAGCGACUUGCCGCCGGCGAUGUCGUCGGCGAAGACCGUGUACUUCGCCGCCGCCUGAUCACGCAGCCGCUGCUGCACGUCGCCGGCUCCCCGGCCGUACAGGUAGUCCUGCUCGAGCUGCUUGUCCAGGGCAUCGGAAAGCUCCACCCCGUAUUCGUCGGCGUACUGGUGCAUCUGGGUGACCGCGUCGUCCCACUCCCCGCCCUUGAGGGUCGUGCUCUUCGACCGGGCGAUCGCGUCGUUGAUCUGCUGGUCGUUCCAGCCGUACGCCCACGCGUCGCGCGCCAGCUUGGCGACCUCGGCUGCCGGCAGGUGGGAGCCCUGGGCGCCCAUCGCCGCCUCGAUCGACUUCUGGAUCGCGGCGAUGUCGCCCUUGGCGACGCCGGGCCUGGCUCGCUCCAGCACCAGCCGCUUGCCGAUGUCGACCGAGUACUUCUUGAAGAACCCGGUCUGCGCCAUGAGGGAGGCGGUGAUGGUCGGGUCGGUGAUCCGCCGCUUCACCAGCGUGUCGAUCAGCCAGGUGAUGCUCUUGCCCUCGCCCUUCGCCACCAGCUCGGAGUCGAGCUCCUUGAGGAUCUUGAUGUUGC